UUCAAGUGCGUAGGCUUGAGAGUUAGGUAAAUCCGGCUCUCUCUAAGGCUGAGACACGACGUCGAGCUGCUACGGCAGUGAAGUCAUUGAUGCCAUGCUUCCAGGAAAAGCCUCUAAGCUUCAGAUAGUCAGGAAUCGUACCCCAAACCGACACAGGUGGUCGGGUAGAGAAUACCAAGGCGCUUGAGAGAACUCGGGUGAAGGAACUAGGCAAAAUGGUACCGUAACUUCGGGAGAAGGUACGCUCUUGAUGGUGAAGUCCCUCGCGGAUGGAGCUGACGAGAGUCGCAGAUACCAGGUGGCUGCAACUGUUUAUUAAAAACACAGCACUGUGCAAAAUCGCAAGAUGACGUAUACGGUGUGACGCCUGCCCGGUGCCGGAAGGUUAAUUGAUGGGGUUAGCGCAAGCGAAGCUCUUGAUCGAAGCCCCGGUAAACGGCGGCCGUAACUAUAACGGUCCUAAGGUAGCGAAAUUCCUUGUCGGGUAAGUUCCGACCUGCACGAAUGGCGUAAUGAUGGCCACGCUGUCUCCACCCGAGACUCAGUGAAAUUGAAAUCGCUGUGAAGAUGCAGUGUACCCGCGGCUAGACGGAAAGACCCCGUGAACCUUUACUACAGCUUGGCACUGAACAUUGAACCUACAUGUGUAGGAUAGGUGGGAGGCUAUGAAGACGUGACGCCAGUUGCGUUGGAGCCGUCCUUGAAAUACCACCCUUGUAUGUUUGAUGUUCUAACUUAGACCCGUUAUCCGGGUUGAGGACAGUGCCUGGUGGGUAGUUUGACUGGGGCGGUCUCCUCCCAAAGAGUAACGGAGGAGCACGAAGGUGGGCUAAUCACGGUUGGACAUCGUGAGGUUAGUGCAAUGGCAUAAGCCCGCUUAACUGCGAGAAUGACGGUUCGAGCAGGUGCGAAAGCAGGUCAUAGUGAUCCGGUGGUUCUGUAUGGAAGGGCCAUCGCUCAACGGAUAAAAGGUACUCCGGGGAUAACAGGCUGAUACCGCCCAAGAGUUCAUAUCGACGGCGGUGUUUGGCACCUCGAUGUCGGCUCAUCACAUCCUGGGGCUGAAGUCGGUCCCAAGGGUAUGGCUGUUCGCCAUUUAAAGUGGUACGCGAGCUGGGUUUAGAACGUCGUGAGACAGUUCGGUCCCUAUCUGCCGUGGGCGUUGGAAGAUUGAAGGGGGCUGCUCCUAGUACGAGAGGACCGGAGUGGACGAACCUCUGGUGUUCGGGUUGUGUCGCCAGACGCAUUGCCCGGUAGCUAAGUUCGGAAUUGAUAAGCGCUGAAAGCAUCUAAGCGCGAAGCGAGCCCUGAGAUGAGUCUUCCCUGACAGUUUAACUGUCCUAAAGGGUUGUUCGAGACUAGAACGUUGAUAGGCAGGGUGUGUAAGCGUUGUGAGGCGUUGAGCUAACCUGUACUAAUUGCCCGUGAGGCUUAACCAU
Molecule: ribosomal RNA, 1439 nt
Filed under: Vibrio cholerae
Lineage: Bacteria; Pseudomonadati; Pseudomonadota; Gammaproteobacteria; Vibrionales; Vibrionaceae
Description: partial 23S ribosomal RNA
Rfam family: Bacterial large subunit ribosomal RNA
Source: RNAcentral